This 465-nucleotide ribosomal RNA is filed under the name uncultured bacterium. RNAcentral's name for it is "partial 16S ribosomal RNA". It matches the Rfam family "Bacterial small subunit ribosomal RNA", at positions 28 to 507 of the family's 1533-position model. The record is from RNAcentral.
GACGAACGCUGGCGGCGUGCUUAACACAUGCAAGUCGAACGGAAAGGCCCUGCUUGCAGGGUACUCGAGUGGCGAACGGGUGAGUAACACGUGGGUGAUCUGCCCUGCACUUCGGGAUAAGCCUGGGAAACUGGGUCUAAUACCGGAUAGGAGCCAUUUUUAGUGUGAUGGUUGGAAAGUUUUUUCGGUGUAGGAUGAGCUCGCGGCCUUUCAGCUUGUUGGUGGGGUAAUGGCCUACCAAGGCGGCGACGGGUAGCCGGCCUGAGAGGGUGGACGGCCACAUUGGGACUGAGAUACGGCCCAGACUCCUACGGGAGGCAGCAGUGGGGAAUAUUGCACAAUGGGCGCAAGCCUGAUGCAGCGACGCCGCGUGGGGGAUGACGGCCUUCGGGUUGUAAACUCCUUUCGCUAGGGACGAAGCUUUUUGUGACGGUACCUAGAGAAGAAGCACCGGCUAACUACGUG